Molecule: transfer RNA, 83 nt
Filed under: Felis catus (domestic cat)
Lineage: Eukaryota; Metazoa; Chordata; Mammalia; Carnivora; Felidae
Rfam family: tRNA
About the family: Transfer RNA (tRNA) molecules are approximately 80 nucleotides in length. Their secondary structure includes four short double-helical elements and three loops (D, anti-codon, and T loops).
Source: Rfam by way of RNAcentral
GCUCAGUUGGUUAAACGUAUGACUCCUGAUUUCAGCUUAGGUCAUGAUCUCAUAGGUUGUGGGUUCGAGCCCCACGUUGGGCU